RNAcentral lists this non-coding RNA (55 nucleotides) under Streptomyces sp. PCS3-D2. RNAcentral describes it as "L17-Actino-Proteobacteria ribosomal protein leader". It matches the Rfam family "L17-Actino-Proteobacteria ribosomal protein leader". Lineage: Bacteria; Bacillati; Actinomycetota; Actinomycetes; Kitasatosporales; Streptomycetaceae. The record is from RNAcentral.
CCCCCUUGCGACCGCUUGGGGGAACUGACUCCGGUACCUGACACGGCCGGUGCAG